Molecule: small nuclear RNA, 107 nt
Organism: Octodon degus (degu)
Lineage: Eukaryota; Metazoa; Chordata; Mammalia; Rodentia; Octodontidae
Source: Ensembl
GUGCUCACUUUGGCAGCAUGUAUACUAAAACUGCAGCGAUACAGAGAAGACUAGCAUGGUCCCUGAGCAAGGAAGACAUGCAAAUUCAUGAAGCGUUCCAUAUUUUU